Molecule: ribosomal RNA, 393 nt
Filed under: uncultured bacterium
Lineage: Bacteria
Description: partial 16S ribosomal RNA
Rfam family: Bacterial small subunit ribosomal RNA
Source: RNAcentral
AUACGGAGGAUGCGAGCGUUAUCCGGAUUCAUUGGGUAUAAAGGGUGCGUAGGCGGCCCCCCAAGUCAGCGGUGAAAUGUCCGGGCCCAACCCGGAGGGCGCCGUUGAUACUGCGGGGCUGGAGUACGGACGCCGGCGGAGGAAUGAGUGGUGUAGCGGUGAAAUGCAUAGAUAUCACUCAGAACACCGAUUGCGAAGGCAUCUGACGAGUCCGGCACGUACGCGGAGGCACGAAAGCGUGGGGAUAGAACAGGAUUAGAUGCCCGGGUAUUCCACGCCGUAAACGAUGAUGACUAGCCGUCGGCGAUAGACAGCCGGUGGCCAAGCGAAAGCGAUAAGUCAUCCACCUGGGGAGUACGUCGGCAACGAUGGAACUCAAAUGAAUUGGCGGGG